GACGAACGCUGGCGGCGUGCUUAACACAUGCAAGUCGAGCGGUAAGGCCCUUUCGGGGUACGACGAGCGGCGAACGGGUGAGUAACACGUGGGUGACCUGCCCUCAGCUCUGGGAGUAAGCCUGGGAAACCGGGUACUAUACUGGAUAUGACUCCAUGACGCAUGUUGGUGGGGUGGAAAGCCUUGUGCGGCUGAGGAUGGGCCCGCGGCCUAUCAGCUUGUU
This 223-nucleotide ribosomal RNA is filed under the name uncultured bacterium. RNAcentral's name for it is "partial 16S ribosomal RNA". It matches the Rfam family "Bacterial small subunit ribosomal RNA", at positions 28 to 250 of the family's 1533-position model. The record is from RNAcentral.